Molecule: non-coding RNA, 23 nt
Filed under: Arabidopsis thaliana (thale cress)
Lineage: Eukaryota; Viridiplantae; Streptophyta; Magnoliopsida; Brassicales; Brassicaceae
Source: RNAcentral
UUUGUUUGGGUACCCGCUAUCUA